UUAAAUUGAAGAGUUUGAUCAUGGCUCAGAUUGAACGCUGGCGGCAGGCCUAACACAUGCAAGUCGAACGGUAACAGGAAUCAGCUUGCUGAUUCGCUGACGAGUGGCGGACGGGUGAGUAAUGUCUGGGAAACUGCCUGAUGGAGGGGGAUAACUACUGGAAACGGUAGCUAAUACCGCAUAACGUCGCAAGACCAAAGAGGGGGACCUUCGGGCCUCUUGCCAUCGGAUGUGCCNGAUGGGAUU
This 246-nucleotide ribosomal RNA is filed under the name Escherichia sp. E5028. Its description in RNAcentral is "partial 16S ribosomal RNA". It matches the Rfam family "Bacterial small subunit ribosomal RNA", at positions 1 to 242 of the family's 1533-position model. Lineage: Bacteria; Pseudomonadati; Pseudomonadota; Gammaproteobacteria; Enterobacterales; Enterobacteriaceae. The record is from RNAcentral.